RNAcentral lists this ribosomal RNA (271 nucleotides) under Giardia duodenalis. RNAcentral's name for it is "Giardia intestinalis partial small subunit ribosomal RNA". The stretch from base 1 to 224 matches the Rfam family "Eukaryotic small subunit ribosomal RNA", at positions 254 to 470 of the family's 1831-position model. The record is from RNAcentral. Lineage: Eukaryota; Fornicata; Diplomonadida; Hexamitidae.
UGCGCGCAAGGGCGGGCGCCCGCGGGCGAGCAGCGUGACGCAGCGACGGCCCGCCCGGGCUUCCGGGGCAUCACCCGGUCGGCGCGGUCGCGGCGCGCCGAGGGCCCGACGCCUGGCGGAGAAUCAGGGUUCGACUCCGGAGAGCGGGCCUGAGAGACGGCCCGCACAUCCAAGGACGGCAGCAGGCGCGGAACUUGCCCAAUGCGAGGCGCGCGAGGCAGCGACGGGGAGUGCGCGAGCGAGGCGGGCCCACAGCCCCCGCCGCGGAGCC